This 715-nucleotide long non-coding RNA is filed under the name Callithrix jacchus (white-tufted-ear marmoset). Its description in RNAcentral is "lncRNA (ENSCJAG00000080546.1)". Lineage: Eukaryota; Metazoa; Chordata; Mammalia; Primates; Cebidae. The record is from RNAcentral.
GGUGCAUGAGAGCAGUGAUUGAAUCUCCUGUGCCCUUAGGGUUAAAUGACCAAUAAUCACAUACUUGGGAAUAAGAAAAUGAAUAAGUAGCCCAGGUGGGCAGACAGAUGUGAAUCCAGGCUCUGCCAAAUAAUAACAAUGUAACUUUAGCAAGUUACUUGUCUUCUGUGAGUAUUGGUUUCCUCAGUUUUAAUUCUUUGUUAAAAAGCAUCACAAUAUUUACUUUAAAGUGUUCUGUGAGGACUCAAGAUAAAGCAAAUAAAAUGUUUAGUAAAGUUCCUGGUCCAUAGAUCUUCCAGACAUACUUCUGCAAACUUCUCUCAUCUUUCAUUCAAGACCUGUAGCAUCCAUCACUGGGAUUUGCUUCUGCUUUAGGUGGAAGUCUGCGGUGAUCUUGUCAAGAGAGCAUCCAAAGCAGAGGAAAUGCAAGCCUGACUGGACAGUUCUGUGAGGAGAAGAGAAGGAAGAAGGUUGGAGCUCUGCAGCCUGCCCCUAGAGACACUCCCAGGACGAUCUGGAUACACCAAGAUGUUCCAACUUAACAUUAUCAGCCAGCCAGCCAGCAUCUUCUUUUCUGCAGGACUAUAAGUAAAUGCAUUAUCAAGUACCUGCUAAUAUUUAGUUACAUUUUCUUUAUACAGAGCAAUUACUUUACCAUGAGUUCAAAAAUAUAUUUAUCUAUCUAAGACCAUGAACUUAAUUGUUUUAAUUGUGC